RNAcentral lists this ribosomal RNA (814 nucleotides) under uncultured bacterium. Its description in RNAcentral is "bacterial SSU rRNA". It matches the Rfam family "Bacterial small subunit ribosomal RNA", at positions 28 to 809 of the family's 1533-position model. The record is from RNAcentral.
GACGAACGCUGGCGGCGUGCUUAACACAUGCAAGUCGAACGAAAAGACGGAAAGAGCUUGCUCUUUUCAGAAUUGAGUGGCAAACGGGUGAGUAACACGUAAACAACCUGCCUUCAGGAUGGGGACAACAGACGGAAACGACUGCUAAUACCGAAUAAGUUCCAAGGGCCGCAUGGCCCAUGGAAGAAAAGGUGGCCUCUACCUGUAAGCUAUCACCUGAAGAGGGGUUUGCGUCUGAUUAGCUGGUUGGAGGGGUAACGGCCCACCAAGGCGACGAUCAGUAGCCGGUCUGAGAGGAUGAACGGCCACACUGGAACUGAGACACGGUCCAGACUCCUACGGGAGGCAGCAGUGGGGAAUCUUCCGCAAUGGGCGAAAGCCUGACGGAGCAACGCCGCGUGAGUGAUGACGGCCUUCGGGUUGUAAAACUCUGUGAUCCGGGACGAAAAGGCAGAGUGCGAAGAACAAACUGCAUUGACGGUACCGGAAAAGCAAGCCACGGCUAACUACGUGCCAGCAGCCGCGGUAAUACGUAGGUGGCAAGCGUUGUCCGGAAUUAUUGGGCGUAAAGCGCGCGCAGGCGGCUUCCCAAGUCCCUCUUAAAAGUGCGGGGCUUAACCCCGUGAUGGGAAGGAAACUGGGAAGCUGGAGUAUCGGAGAGGAAAGUGGAAUUCCUAGUGUAGCGGUGAAAUGCGUAGAGAUUAGGAAGAACACCGGUGGCGAAGGCGACUUUCUGGACGAAAACUGACGCUGAGGCGCGAAAGCGUGGGGAGCAAACAAGAUUAGAUACCCUGGUAGUCCACGCCGUAAACGA